GAUGAACGCUGGCGGCGUGCCUAAUACAUGCAAGUAGAACGCAGUUGCGUACGGGUGAGUAACGCGUAGGUAACUGCCUGGUAGCGGGGGAUAACUAAUGGAAAUGAUAGCUCAUACCGAAUACUACCAGAUGGACCUGCGUUGUAUUAGCUAGUUGGGGAGGUAACGGCACACCAAGGCAACGAUACAUAGCCGACCUUGGUGGGAGGUCGGCCCCACGGGGACUGAGACACGGCCCAGGCUCCUACGGGGGUCAGCAGUAGCGAAUCUUCGUCAAUGGGGGUAACCCUGACCGCGCAACGCCGCGUGAGUGAAUAGGGUUUUCGGAUCGUAAAGCUCUGUUGGUAAUGAAGCGGUACUUAACCAGAAAGGGACGGCUAACUACGUGCCAGCAGCCGCGGUAAUAC
This 407-nucleotide ribosomal RNA is filed under the name uncultured bacterium. RNAcentral describes it as "partial 16S ribosomal RNA". It matches the Rfam family "Bacterial small subunit ribosomal RNA", at positions 28 to 526 of the family's 1533-position model. The record is from RNAcentral.